RNAcentral lists this transfer RNA (73 nucleotides) under Paramuricea clavata. It matches the Rfam family "tRNA". Rfam says of the family: Transfer RNA (tRNA) molecules are approximately 80 nucleotides in length. Their secondary structure includes four short double-helical elements and three loops (D, anti-codon, and T loops). Further hydrogen bonds mediate the characteristic L-shaped molecular structure. tRNAs have two regions of fundamental functional importance: the anti-codon, which is responsible for specific mRNA codon recognition, and the 3' end, to which the tRNAs corresponding amino acid is attached (by aminoacyl-tRNA synthetases). tRNAs cope with the degeneracy of the genetic code in two manners: having more than one tRNA (with a specific anti-codon) for a particular amino acid; and 'wobble' base-pairing, i.e. permitting non-standard base-pairing at the 3rd anti-codon position. Lineage: Eukaryota; Metazoa; Cnidaria; Anthozoa; Malacalcyonacea; Plexauridae. The record is from Rfam by way of RNAcentral.
GCCUCUGUAGCUCAGUUGGUUAGAGCGCUGCACCGGAAUCGCAGAGCUGUUGGUUCAAUUCCUCCCAGAGGAC